AUGAUUCCUUUGGAAUUACGACCUUUACCACAAUGGUGCCGUCCAUGGAUCAAAUUAUUUCGUGGAUUGGAUUUCACUUGCCUGUCUACGGUUCCAUUGCGAGGAAGAAGUCGAGAUAGAAGAAAAAUUCCCGUAGCAACCAUAGUUGCUGCGUGUAUAAGAGCCGAAAUAGGAGUGGGUCCUUCCAUAGCAUCGGUAGUUGCUCUUAGCGGCGUGGCGGACCAACCGUGUGGCGUGCGAAGUGGCUUCGCUCGUGUGGGCGAUGGAGGCCAUUCCGCGCGGGCACUAGGUCUAAGAGGACGGCGUUGUCCUCAGUGUGUGACCUCUUUGUGGAAGCUGUUCGCUCCCCACUAG
This 354-nucleotide ribosomal RNA is filed under the name Triticum aestivum (bread wheat). RNAcentral's name for it is "partial small subunit ribosomal RNA". The record is from RNAcentral. Lineage: Eukaryota; Viridiplantae; Streptophyta; Magnoliopsida; Poales; Poaceae.